GGGGGGGGGGGGGGGGGGGGGGGGGGGGGGGGGGGGGGGGGGGGGGGGGGGGGGGGGGGGGGGGGGGGGGGGGGGGGGGGGGGGGGGGGCAGCCGCGGCCGUUGUGGCGACAGUCGGCGACCGGCGCCAUGGCGGAGCUGCCGCUGCCCGCCGGCCUCAACGCCAGCACCUUCCCCGCCAAGCUGUGGCGCCUGGCGAGCAGCCCCCGCGUCCGCUCCGUGCGCUGGGACAGCCGGGCCCAGGGGCUGCUCAUCGACCGCUCCCUGUUCGAGCGGGAGCUGCUCAGCCCGGGCGGCGCCCACGUGGCGGGCGGUGAAGGGGCGGGGCCGCCUCCGGACUCUUUCCAAGCCACGCACUUCGGCAGCUUCGUGCGCCAGCUCAACCUCUACGGCUUCCAAAAGGUGCCGGGCUGGGUUGGCUCAGCUGUGCCGGGCGAUGCCAGAGGCUGCCUCCACUACAGGAACCCAAACUUUCGCCGCGACCGCCCCGAGCUCCUGCUCCGCAUCCAGCGCCUGACCAGGGCCAACAGGCAGCGGCUGGCGGCGGGGCUGGAGGUGCGCAGCCGCCGGCCCGGAGGUGCGCAGCCGCCAGCCCAGCCGCUUCCAGCAGCUCCACACGGACAGGCCGCUGCUCACCUUCUCUGCCGGGCAGCCCCCCAGAGCCGCUCCCUCAUGCCAGAACCUCGCUGCUGCCUCACAUGAGGGUUCAGAGCUGCUUCCAGGCCCUUCCAGGCAAAGUGCAGGUCCUCAGGUGUCUGAGGUUUUCUUAGCAUCUCACAAGAAAGUGUUUGCCACAUCUGGACUUCAUGGGAUUUCAACAGAGGAACCAGGCACGUGCAAAUUUCAAGUCCAGCCUGAACUCAUCAUUCCCCUGGUUCGCAUGGACCUUAAGUGCUACCCUGAGCUCACUGUUCCACCAGUUCCCGUAAACCAUGACAGCACUUCUGUGGCCUCUCCAGAGAGCAGCAGCAGCAAAUCUUCAGAGCAGCACACCCCAGUCAAUGACCCAUCAGCCACUCCAGGCACUUCAGCUCCCAGUGCUCCAGCUGGCUAUGCUGGUUAUGCACCAUGGACAGCCCCCAGGUGGCUCUGGUAUACUCCUGGGGAAGAGGAAUUGCCACCACUGGAUCUGGACCUGGUGCUUGAGACACUGGAGGAGAUGCUUUCGACUUCCCCGUCUGCAAGGUCUCCCUCUGCUCAGGACACUGUUGCCCCUGAGUGCUCAGGAGGGGAGCCUGUGAACAAGGCUGCAGCAGGGGGAGUUUUGCCUGGCACUGAAAACUGCAGGAACAGUUCCCAGGAACCCAAGGAGCUUGGUAAGGACAGAGCCCAUAUUGGUUUAGAGAGGUGUGAGACAGCUGCUCUGAGCCUGCCUCUGACAGGAAGGGAGAUCAGAAGAGUUGAGUUCUUGUCUGCAGAGCUGGUGCUUCCCGGUGCCUUUAGUUCAGAUCCUGCACUGACAAAACCUCCCCGAGCCCUGCCCUCCACGCUUCUCCAGAGGCUCUGA
RNAcentral lists this long non-coding RNA (1506 nucleotides) under Ficedula albicollis (Collared flycatcher). RNAcentral describes it as "lncRNA (ENSFALG00000028446.1)". Lineage: Eukaryota; Metazoa; Chordata; Aves; Passeriformes; Muscicapidae. The record is from RNAcentral.